RNAcentral lists this ribosomal RNA (215 nucleotides) under uncultured bacterium. RNAcentral's name for it is "partial 16S ribosomal RNA". It matches the Rfam family "Bacterial small subunit ribosomal RNA", at positions 118 to 351 of the family's 1533-position model. The record is from RNAcentral.
UGGGAACCUUCCCUAUGGUUCGGAAUAGCUCAGGGAAACUUGGGGUAAUACCGGAUAAGCCCUUCGGGGAAAGAUUUAUCGCCAUUGGAUGGGUCCGCGUCGGAUUAGCUAGUUGGUGAGGUAACGGCUCACCAAGGCAACGAUCCGUAGCUGGUCUGAGAGGAUGAUCAGCCACACUGGGACUGAGAUACGGUCCAGACUCCUACGGGAGGCAG